Molecule: long non-coding RNA, 5713 nt
Organism: Astatotilapia calliptera (eastern happy)
Lineage: Eukaryota; Metazoa; Chordata; Actinopteri; Cichliformes; Cichlidae
Source: Ensembl
AGACGCUGCACUGAGAACUGGACCAAAGCUGGGCUCAAAACUGUGUUGAACUAUCGGUAACAAGAUGUUGUCUACAAAGGGGGAGCAGAGAACAUUCAGCAAUGGGCGUCUGAGAGACCAGUGGGAGAAGAGAGCCCAGAGCAUCGCCGACGACAACAAAAAAGAGGAACAAUGGAAGCAGAAAAGUUCCACCAAUCUGCUACUCUCAAAAUGGAACUAUCACUGGCUGGUUGCUAAUGGAGACAAGAUGAAAGAUGGCAUGAGUGAGUUUAAGAGGGUCACAAGUGGUGCAGCUGAAGCAGAAAAAAACAAGCCCAGAAUUCGAUUCAAAGUUGUCCCUCCUCCUCCCAAACCCAAAGCCGAGCCUCCUCCUCCACCACCUCCUCCGAGAAGGUCAACAUCACCCAGACUUCGAAGGCAAAAGCGCAAAGUAGAGGUUGAUGCAUUUCGAAUUUGCUGGAAGGACUCCUGGAUGAGCUUGAAGCCACCAAAGUAUCUUUUUCUGAAAGCCCAAGAGUUGCAAACCAGAAUUCUAGGGUUCACAACCAUAGAGCUAACUAAGAACAGCAAGUACAAAGCAAAGGGAAGCGGACUGAAGGGUGAAUGGAUGUUUCCUGCUCAUAAGUGGAAUCAAUCCUGGAAACAGGUGAAGAGUCCAGGCCAGGUGGAGCUUUCUGAGGCAAAACAGUUUCACUGGGAUAUUCUAUUUCAAAGAGAGAACGUUUGUAAGGUUGCGAUAGAAACAUAUUCUCUUCCUGUUUGGGCUGGUACCUGGAAGAUCAUGAACUUUCCCUUCAGGCAGGAGAAAAAGGACUGGGAUCAUAUCUGGACUGACUACCAACAAAACCUAACCAACAACUUUGAUCAAAUACAACAGCUAGAGGAGGAGGAUGAACCCUUUGACUGGGAGGAUUCAUGGAAAAUGUCUGGAGCAGAUUUUGAAACAAACGACUUCACAGAUGAUGAGACGCUAAGUGAGAGUUCCUUCAGUGCGGACGCUGAAGUUAUGAUGACUAUAACUGAUGUGUGCGUACCAGGAUGGAGCAAAUCCUGGCUACUGUCAGCAGCUCCUCCAGAGGAAGGUGAAGAACGGCAGAAAAGCUGGAGCACUUGCUGGGGAUAUAAGCAGCAGCUCAGGUGGUGCAAAGCUUCUGUAAACUCCAAUCAUCAACACAGUGCCAUGCUGGAGAGAAAACGCAAAGCUACAAACUUCCUCUUCACAUCAGAGUUGGACGAGGAGAUGACAGACACCACUGAGUGGAUGGAGGCCUGGAAGGCUCCAAGAGGAUGGUUUAAGGUAGAGGAGGAGGAAACAGAGGAGGAGGGGGAAGCAGAGGAAAUAUAUGUCAAAGGGGAGGAGGAUGAUGAAGGAGUGAAUAAUGAGGACAGAGAUAUGGAUGAGGAAGAGGAGGAUGGAAAUCUGGAUGGUGUGGAGGAGGAUGAAGGAGUUGAAGAGGAGGAAGCUUUCAAUAAAAAUAAUGUGGACAAAAAACUAGAAAAGGAGAGAAAAAUAGAAAUAGUUAUAGAAAAGAAAGAAAAAGCCCUUAACAAGAAGGCUGAAGAUGAUGAGGAAGAAGAUGAAGGAGUGGAUGAAAAUGAGGAGGAGGAGGAAGAAGAGUAUGAAGAUACUGACAACAAGAAGGAGGGCAAGGAAGAAGACAAUGAAGAGGAACAGGAUGAAGAUGGUGGAAGGGAGGAUGGAAACAAAAAAGGCAAUCAAAAAGAUGACAAUGAAACAGAUAACGAUGAGGAGGAGAAAGAAGAGGAGGAGGUGGAGGAAGGGGAUGAAAAAACUAAGGUAGAGAAGCAGGAAAAAGACACAAAUGAAAAUGAUGAGGGUGAAGUAGAAGAGGAAGAGCAGGACAGUGAAUUGAAUGAAGAUGAAAGGGAUGACAAAGUGGAAAAGCUGAAUGAGGAAGGCACAGACGAAGAAGAGGAAGUGAAUGCAGAAAUAAAGGAAGAAGAGGAGGAGGAAGACAUAGAAGAUGAGGAAGAGGAGAACAAGAAUGGCAUAAAUGAGGAGAAAGGAAACCAUGAUGGUGGCAGGGAUGAAGAUGCAGAGGUAGAUGAGGAAGAGGAGGAAGAUGAAGAUUAUAAUAACAAUGAUGAUGAAACAAAUGUAUGUGAAAAAGAAAAAUACAAAGAGAUGGACAAGAAAGAUAAAGGUGGAGAAGAAGAAGAAGAAGAGGAGGAAGAAGAAGAAUCAAAAGAAGGAAAAGAAGAAGAAGCAAAAGAAAAAGAAGAAGAAGAAGAAGAAGAAGAAGAAGAAGAAGCAAAAGAAGAUGAAGAAGAAGCAAAAGAAGAAGAAGAAAAGGGAGAGGGUGGUGGGGAUGAAAAAAAUGAAACAGAAAGAAAUAAGAGUAGUAGGGUUAAUGUAGAUAAGGAGGAAGAUGAAAAAGAUGAAGAUGAUGACAAAGCUGAUGAAGAUGAAGAAGAGGAUGAUGUGCAAAAGAAUGAAGGCAAUAAUGUAGAUAGCGAGGAUGAAGAAGAAGAGAAGGAAGAAGAGGAUGAAGCAGACAACGACCAGGAGAGUGAUGAGGAUGGUAAAGACAGAGAGGAGAAUGAAAAUGUUGACGAGGAGGAAGGUGGUGUAAUAUUUGAGAAAGAUGAAGAAGAAAUUAAAGAGAAUGACAAAAAAGCUGACCAUCACAAGGAUGAGGAAGAGGAGGAGGAGGAUGAAGAGAAGGAGGCUGGUGAGAAAGAAAAUGAAGCAGAGGUUAUAGUAGAGAAAAACACAGAAGAAGAAAAGAAGGUGAAGAAGUCACAGAAAAGAAUGAAACAUAAGCCCGAUGUCCCGCUCCAUCUGCAGUUCCACAAACUGAACGCCUGCUUUCCCUCCUGGAAGCAGUCAUGGAUGGUGGCAGUAGCUCACAGAGGAGGUUGUGAUGCUGAGGAUGAGGCUUACGAAGAGGGUGAGGAAUCGGAAUUGAGAGCUUGGAAGGACUCAUGGAGGAUUUGUCGCUAUAGAAAGCCAGAUGAUGAUGACGUGGUGUGUUUCUCUAUGGAGCACCGGAGUCAGCGGUAUAUGGGACUGACGCAUGAAGAAGACAGCAUGCCAAACAGUGAGUGGACUCUGAGCUGGAAAAUGAACAAAGAAAAAGAUGAAGAUGCUGAAGAUGAAGAAGAAGAAGAAGAUGAAGAAGAAGAAGAAGAAGAAGAAGAAAGUUAAAAUUUUCUGAGAGGGGAAAUUAGAAGUGCUGGGUAUUAUUUAUACCUGAUAUGAACUAAAUGUGUCAAAAGCUGGGAUUGUCAUGUCUUAUUUCAGAUGCUGACCAGAGAUACUUUUAAUCCAAACUUCUGUUCUGCAUGUUUACGUUUAGGCUAGGCUACUGGAAAACUGCAAAAAGAUAUUUAUUUCAACUGUUGAUGCCAUCAACAACCUCACAUGCCCAGAAGGAAGUAACUAAUACAGUUGGCAACAUGUCUGUGUUUACUUUAGGUCAGAUUUGAAAACUACUGAUGAGUCGUGAUUUUUUUUUUCUUUCUUUACGCUUCUUAUAUAGUUUGGUGCUGUUUUGUGAUCCUUCUUGCUUGAGUGAAUGUCAACAAUGAAAAGUACAAAGUUAGCAUGACAAUUAACGGUAGCUAUGCAAGCUAGCCAACUCUCAGUCGGUAAAAACAAUAGCAUUUACAUAAGCCCGGAAAUCCACAGUUCAUUAUCAGUGGCUUUCAGCAAGAGUUCUCCAGGUUUUCUUAAGGUCUUUGAGAGUUUUUCUUUUCAGUCAUUUUCAGUCCAUUCCUUUUCCUUCCCAUUUUCAGAGAAAUUAUUUUUUGUUGUGUAUUUGUUAAGCAUGAGCCACUUAACACUGGCCACCUAACUCAAUGGAUAAAAGAGUGUAACCUAUGCAUAACAACUGAGCAAAGAACCAGUUUUAAAGCAUUAUUUUACAAAGUUUUUUUUGUUACAAAGACACAUAAUUUAAUAAAACUCAUGAAACAGUAUUUCUGCACAAAACAAACAAUUAUUAAUGGAAAACAUGGCUUAUAUUGACAUGGUGUGCAGAGUGUCCUUAACAACUUUGAGGAAACUGAUCAAAUGGAGGACAAAGAAGGUGCAGAAAAUGAAAACAAUAUGUAACAGUAUCUUUAUCCAGUGUCCUGCAUCUGGCAUUUGAUUCAUCUCCUGUUUCCCAAAGUCCCAUCAGAAGUGGUCUCAGUGGAAAGGUGGCUGUCAAGAAGCCAUUCAUACAGAGGGGAGACAGGGAGAGAGGCUGAGAAGUGCCAAAUUACACAAGUACUGGACUAAAAAUGCAGUGGUUGAAACAAAGAUAAAGUGGUUGACAGCUUAAGAAGAAUGUAGGAAAGGAGCCAAAUGCCAGUUGGCCUCUUUACACUCAGCAUUCGAUGCUAAACUAAUUUGAUAAGUACACUCAGGGAGGAUAUCCUCCAGAAAGGCCAGCAUAAAUUUCACAAUUUAACUUUUAAAAAAGUUAUCCAGAUCAAAAGCAUAAAAUGUUAUGGGUUCUUCACUUGCUGAUGCUCCAGAGCAUCAUUUGAUUAAACUUUAUAAAAUCUUCAUCUUUGACACUAGAAAUUUGAUAUUAAAAAUGAUAACAUACAAGGAAGUGUCCUGCUAUAAGAUUACAUAUUAUUAUUUUCACGUUUACAGUUAUAGCUGCUUUUUCAUCCUGUGUUACUAAAUUUCUGCUAACUGCCUUCUACUGCUAGACUGUUUGUGUCAUUAGACACCAAAGCUCUGAGGGUGUUGUGAAGAUGUACAAUUUACCCCACAUCAAAACAUAAAAAUCAAUAGCCAAGCAGUGAGCAGCUAAUGGCUGUAAUUGGUUAACACAAUGUACUGACGGGGUAAAAUAUGAAGCACUUUAAGAGAGGUGACUGAGGUUUGUCUGAUUUUUAAAGUAAGAAAAUGUCAUAUUGGUGUUGUGUAGAUGGAAGAGGCUGUGCAGAGAUCAGUCUUAAACAUUUAUAUGGUGAUGUGCGUCUUUACUGCACUCUUUUAUGAUACAGUGAAGAUCAAACUGCAACUUUUAUUAAAGUUAUAAACUGUGAAUUUUACAGAAAAAAACUGCGUGUUUGUUUUCGCACAACUUAUUCACACUUAAUAGCACUACAUAAGCACAUUUUCAGUAUUUUAGUUUCUUCCUGAGAGUGAGCGGUCAAGACUGAUGUCAGUCUGCUUCAUGUGUGCAGAUCAAAAUCUCUGUCUUUAGAAAUUGAAAUAAGUUUAUCCAAAGUAUUUUGAGAAAUCAUUAAAAGUAAAAAAAGAAAGAAAGAAAGAAAGAAAGAAAGAAAGAAAGAAAGGAAGGAAGGAAGGAAGGAAGGAAGGAAGGAAGGAAGGAAGGAAAGGAAGGAAAAGAGAGACCCAAACUGAGUUCUAGUGUGGAUUUAAAUUGGAUCUUGGAUUUAAAUUCAAAUUCAAAUUCAAAUUCAAAAUUUAUUUGUCACAUACACAGUACGAUAUGCAGUGAAAUACUUAGACAACUGCUCGUGACCUAAAGAAAAAACGACUAUGAAUAGGAUAGGAAAUAAAUAGGAAAAUUAAAAUGAAGGGUAAAUUUCACUAGGAAAGAAUAAAUAAAAUAUAAAAAUUAAAGUUAAAAAUAAAAUAACUGUACAACAAAAUACACAAUAUACAAACACACAAUAUAGAAAUGUAUAAGAAUAUAUGAAGAAAUAUAGAACAACAACAGCAGCAGUACAAGUACUAAAUGGUAAUUAAGAAAUAUAAUGUCCAGGGUUGUGCAAUCCACAU